GGAUAGAGCAUUGCAAUUAUUGCUCUUCAACGAGGAAUCCCUAGUAAGCGCAAGUCAUCAGCUUGCGUUGAUUACGUCCCUGCCCUUUGUACACACCGCCCGUCGCUACUACCGAUUGAAUGGCUCAGUGAGGCUUCCGGACUGGCCCAGGGAGGUCGGCAACGACCACCCAGGGCCGGAAAGCUAUCCAAACUCGGUCAUUUAGAGGAAGUAAAAGUACGUAACAAGGUCUCCGUUGGUGAACCAGCGGAGGGAUCAUUA
Molecule: non-coding RNA, 261 nt
Filed under: Neurospora tetrasperma FGSC 2509
Lineage: Eukaryota; Fungi; Ascomycota; Sordariomycetes; Sordariales; Sordariaceae
Description: Eukaryotic small subunit ribosomal RNA
Rfam family: Eukaryotic small subunit ribosomal RNA
Source: Rfam by way of RNAcentral